CUAAAGUUACACACUUCAGGAUUUAGUUUUCACCGUUUUUUCUCACUGGGUGGUACUAAUUUACACUCGCUUGUGAUUGGUCCUCUUUUGAGCCACUUACAUUACUCCUAGGUUAAACUGCGUGAGGGUAUAUAGUGGGUUGGUUUUAGGUUAUUUGACUUUCUUCUACCCCUGAGAAAGACAUGGGUUGCAUAUUAUCAUUAAUCCCUCCCUUAGUUUCUAUGCCUGGAGUUCUGUUUCAUUCUCAGCUUCCCUCCAUGCCUAUCAUUCAGUUUUCCUCUGCUGUUGUCGGUGGGGAGAAGAGUUCAGCUUGGUCAAGCAUCCACAGGGGACAGAGGUGAAGGCCAUGCAGGUCCAUGAUAUCCACAAGCCUGAGAUCUUUGCCAUCAUCGAUAUCUGAGAUUUUUCUACAGAGGAGCUGUCUGACGGGAACAGGACUAUCAGAGCAUGCCUGUGUGAAUGGACAUUGGAUUAAGGGCAACAGCAUGGGUUUUGAUAAUGAGCUUGUGAAGUGUGAUGUUUUCCUGUACCAUUUACAUACUGUAGGAUCCUCUGACAUCCUACUCUGUGGAGAGGAAUGGAUAUACAAAAACAAAGAUAAACAAGUCCAAGAUAAACUGACUGAAUUUUUACAGCACCCAUUCUAAUGAAACUCAAAAUAGCACAAAGAACGUCUCUUCCCUGUAAAUAUUUUCCAUGACAUGUUCUGUCUUGAUUGCACUGUUAUUACUGUAGUCAGGCUGAUAACAAUGAUGAAUCAAAGAACAAAAUGAGUGUUUGUUCUUCUUCCCCUUUUUUACAUAAGUCAGUCUCAGAAUGCUCUGUUCUCCGAGAUGAACAAUAUGACUGUUUAGUGAGCAUCGAGACAUUUUGUUUUGUUUAGUCCUUAAAGCUUAGAGCUGGUGCGCUGUGAUAUUGAUUGAGCUUCUAUUCCCCAUUUCAAUGUGAAUGCUCCCUCCCCCUGAGAUUCAAGAUCUUCCCAUAAUCUGGAAGAUGCAGAUGCCUUUCCCAGUGUGUGUCUCUGUGUGUAUGUGUGCAUGUGCAUGUGAAAGAGAGAGAAACGUAGAUACUUUACUGAAUCAAGGGUGCAGUCACUUUACCAUCAAAGAAAAAAUAGUUACCUUGUACAUUGCUGCAUUAUACAGUAAUGCGAAACAUUGAUUAUAGCAUUGAUUAUACCGACUAUUCCAUUAGCCUCUUGUGUCAUUAAUUAUGUAUAGCUCAAUUAUUUAUAUGCCAAUGAUAUCCCAAGCAUUGAUGUCAAUUCCUCAACAGAUAAUGCACUGCAAUCAAUAUUUACAUUGCAUUACCUCAAAACAUAACUUAUGUGUGCAUCUUUUUUUCCCAGGGCCUCAUAUUUAAACCCUUUAAAAUUCCCUAACAUAGGCAUGCACUCUAAAAGGGCAUUAGUCAAAUCAAUAUGGAGACCAGAGGAGCUUGUUCCUGCCUGUAGUAGUGGAAGAGGGAGCAGAGCACAGUGUGACAGGAAGCUUUUAAUCGCCCUCUCGGUCCCGUGUGGGCCGGUGGGUUUUUGUUCAUUCAAAUCAAGUGACAAGACCUUUUAAUAAUAAUGGAUUUUUUUUCUUUUUUUCACCCAGCUUUUAACCAAAAUCUAAUGACAUGGUUAACAUUUCUUGAUUUCAUGUUGAAUUUAUGUUAGUUGACAACUCAAUCAAAUCUAAAUCGUUGCACUGACGUCUGCGCCCUGUGAGGUGUGUAAUACAAUACUGCAAAUUUCCUUAAUAUUUAUAUACAUAUUGUGUCACGUCUACACCCGCUCCGGUGCUCAACGUUUCCAGUCUACUAACUACCUAUCCUGGCAACCCAUCAUUAUGCACACCUGGCAACCAUCAUUAUGCACACCUGCACCCCAUUAUUAGACACACCUGGACUUCAUCACUACCCUGAUUACUCCCCCUUUAUUUAGCCUUCCGUUGUGAUCAGUUCUUGGGUGUUAUUGGUUUUCUUGCACGUUCAGUACGCGGUCCAUGUUUGUGUAUCUAUUCCAUAUUCAACACACCUUCUGCACCUGCUUUCUGACUCCCUGCGUAUACAUUACAUGUUGGAUACUGGUUCUGUGUAUCUUUUAGUGUCGUCUCAAUACACUCCACCUUUUUGCUACCAGCUCCCACACAGCCUAUUUAAUUAAGUGUAUUUAGGCAUUUGUCUUGUCUGCUGUUCACUUUAGAUGAACAUGCCAGAGCCUGGGAAUAAAGUUAUAAUCUCAAACUGG
Long non-coding RNA from Oncorhynchus nerka (sockeye salmon), 2233 nucleotides. RefSeq lists it as uncharacterized. The transcript is spliced from 2 exons. NCBI's taxonomy places the organism in Eukaryota, Metazoa, Chordata, Actinopteri, Salmoniformes, Salmonidae. The record is from RefSeq and is a predicted model, not a curated record.